Haliotis rubra (blacklip abalone) is the source of this 934-nucleotide long non-coding RNA. RefSeq lists it as uncharacterized. The transcript is spliced from 3 exons. The record is from RefSeq and is a predicted model, not a curated record. NCBI's taxonomy places the organism in Eukaryota, Metazoa, Mollusca, Gastropoda, Lepetellida, Haliotidae.
CAGAUACAGAACCAGCUGACGGAUGUCCUGCAACAAUAAACUGAUUAUAUUGUCAUGGAUAGGUAUAGAACACUGGGAGACAGAUACAGAACCAGUUGACGGAUGUCCUGCAACAAUAAACUGAUUAUAUUGUCAUGGAUAGGUAUAGAACACUGGGAGACAGAUACAGAACCAGUUGACGGAUGUCCUGCAACAAUAAACUGAUUAUAUUGUCAUGGAUAUGUAUAGAACACUGGGAGACAGAUACAGAACCAGCUGACGGAUGUCCUGCAACAAUAAACUGAUUAUAUUGUCAUGGAUAGGUAUAGAACACUGGGAGACAGAUACAGAACCAGCUGACGGAUGUCCUGCAACAAUAAACUGAUUAUAUUGUCAUGGAUAGGUAUAGAACACUGGGGACAGAUACAGAACCAGCUGACGGAUGUCCUGCAACAAUAAACUGAUUAUAUUGUCAUGGAUAGGUAUAGAACACUGGGAGACAGAUACAGAACCAGUUGACGGAUGUCCUGCAACAAUAAACUGAUUAUAUUGUCAUGGAUAGGUAUAGAACACUGGGAGACAGAUACAGAACCAGUUGACGGAUGUCCUGCAACAAUAAACUGAUUAUAUUGUCAUGGAUAGGUAUAGAACACUGGGAGACGGAUACAGAACCAGCUGACGGAUGUUCUGCAACAAUAAACUGAUUAUAUUGUCAUGGAUAGGUAUAGAACACUGGGAGACAGAUACAGAACCAGCUGAUGGAUGUCCUGCAACAAUAAACUGAUUAUAUUGUCAUGGAUAGGUAUAGAACACUGGGGGACAGAUACAGAACCAGUUGACGGAUGUCCUGCAACAAUAAACUGAUUAUAUUGUCAUGGAUAGGUAUAGAACACUGGGGGACAGAUACAGAACCAGUUGACGGAUGUCCUGCAACAAUAAACUGAUUAUAUUGUCA